UACGUAGGGUGCGAGCGUUGUCCGGAAUUAUUGGGCGUAAAGGGCUCGUAGGCGGUUUGUCGCGUCGAGAGUGAAAACACUGGGCUUAACUCAGUGCUUGCUUCCGAUACGGGCAGACUAGAGGUAUUCAGGGGAGAACGGAAUUCCUGGUGUAGCGGUGAAAUGCGCAGAUAUCAGGAGGAACACCGGUGGCGAAGGCGGUUCUCUGGGAAUGUCCUGACGCUGAGGAGCGAAAGCGUGGGGAGCGAACAGG
RNAcentral lists this ribosomal RNA (253 nucleotides) under uncultured bacterium. RNAcentral describes it as "partial 16S ribosomal RNA". It matches the Rfam family "Bacterial small subunit ribosomal RNA", at positions 524 to 776 of the family's 1533-position model. The record is from RNAcentral.